Molecule: unclassified non-coding RNA, 279 nt
Filed under: plant metagenome
Description: partial contains small subunit ribosomal RNA, internal transcribed spacer 1, and 5.8S ribosomal RNA
Source: RNAcentral
UUUCCGUAGGUGAACCUGCGGAAGGAUCAUUACCGUACAAAAUGUCAAGGGCAUUCGAGGACUGUAGCUGAUCCCGAGUUGGUGCAGGGGCGGGUGGGGCCUGUUGCAUGAUCAUCGAGGGCACCCUUGGUGCAUCACCGGCCGGGCACCCUUAGGGAUAAAUUCGGAGGGGACCUUGCGUUUUCAUACAAAACAAACAUUUAAAAAAAUAUAAUUACAACAUUUAUGCAAUCAAUACAACUUUCAAAAACGGAUCUCUUUGCUAUCGCAUUGAUGCAA